GCUGGGCGCGGUGGCAUGUGCCUGUUGUCCCAGCUACUCUCGAGGCUGAGGUGGGAGGAUCCCUUGAGCCCAGGAGUUCUGGGCUGUAGUGUGCUAUGCUGAUCGGGUGUCCGCACUAAGUUCGGCAUCAAUAUGGUGACCUCCCGGGAGUGGGGUACCACCAGAUGGCCUAACGAGGGGUGAACCAGCCCAGGUCAGAAACGGAGCAGGUCAAAACUCCCAUGCUGAUCAGUAGUGGGAUUGUGCCUGUGAAUAACCACUGCACGCCAGCCUGGGAAACACAGCAAGACCCUGUUGCUA
Unclassified non-coding RNA from Callithrix jacchus (white-tufted-ear marmoset), 300 nucleotides. It matches the Rfam family "Metazoan signal recognition particle RNA". From Rfam's summary of the family: The signal recognition particle (SRP) is a universally conserved ribonucleoprotein. It is involved in the co-translational targeting of proteins to membranes. NCBI's taxonomy places the organism in Eukaryota, Metazoa, Chordata, Mammalia, Primates, Cebidae. The record is from Ensembl.